GCCAUUCUACUUCCCAGCUGGCUGGCUUCAGGACAGGAAUUCUUGGCUCUUUCUGAGAUAUGGUGGAUGAUAGCAGUCCCUUGGGGUAAGUAUAGCUUCGAUUUAUGUCUGUGAUCUUCCAAAGGGUUUGAAGCCCCCAAAUGCUCUAAAACCAGGGCCAGAUAUUUUGAAACAGAAUAAUGAGACAGGGACAAACAAACAGAUCUAUCCCCCGCCUGCACUUCCUCUACAUUGGCUUUAAAUGGGGUGAUGGUGUUUAGAAAAGAGGAGCCACCCAACUAGAAACAGAGUGGUUAUUUUCUUCCCUGCUGUAGGAAAUAAUGGAUCUGCUUUGAAUGCCGUGUGCUGAGGGUGGGUGAUAGCCAAGGAGUUAAACCACUUCCCAAGUUGUUUUUAACUAAACUCUUGCCGCAGGGUUUAGAAAUCUCCCUCUCUAAUUGAUGUCUUUGGUCAGUGGCUGCUUAUAAUCAAGAAGAUUGCACUUAAAAGGUAUAGAGGCUGGUCUUGUUAUUGGCAUUAGAGGAUUUUGCUUUGUAAUUACAAGCCAGGAUCUAGAACCAGUGCACAGGCUGUUGAGUUUCAGAUCUCAUACAGAGAAAAUGGCAGGCAUUUUAGUG
RNAcentral lists this long non-coding RNA (617 nucleotides) under Homo sapiens (human). Its description in RNAcentral is "HSALNT0348550". Lineage: Eukaryota; Metazoa; Chordata; Mammalia; Primates; Hominidae. The record is from RNAcentral.